RNAcentral lists this ribosomal RNA (468 nucleotides) under uncultured bacterium. RNAcentral's name for it is "partial 16S ribosomal RNA". It matches the Rfam family "Bacterial small subunit ribosomal RNA", at positions 28 to 507 of the family's 1533-position model. The record is from RNAcentral.
GACGAACGCUGGCGGCGUGCUUAACACAUGCCAGUCGAACGGAAAGGCCCUGCUUUUGUGGGGUGCUCGAAUGGCGAACGGGUGAGUAACACGUGAGUAACCUGCCCUUGACUUUGGGAUAACUUCAGGAAACUGGGGCUAAUACCGGAUAGGAGCUCCUGCUGCAUGGUGGGGGUUGGAAAGUUUCGGCGGUUGGGGAUGGACUCGCGGCUUAUCAGCUUGUUGGCGGGGUAGUGGCUUACCAAGGCUUUGACGGGUAGCCGGCCUGAGAGGGUGACCGGCCACAUUGGGACUGAGAUACGGCCCAGACUCCUACGGGAGGCAGCAGUGGGGAAUAUUGCACAAUGGGCGGAAGCCUGAUGCAGCAACGCCGCGUGCGGGAUGACGGCCUUCGGGUUGUAAACCGCUUUCGCCUGUGACGAAGCGUGAGUGACGGUAAUGGGUAAAGAAGCACCGGCUAACUACGUG